This 1896-nucleotide ribosomal RNA is filed under the name Bacillus pumilus. RNAcentral describes it as "bacterial SSU rRNA". The stretch from base 1 to 1523 matches the Rfam family "Bacterial small subunit ribosomal RNA". The record is from RNAcentral. Lineage: Bacteria; Bacillati; Bacillota; Bacilli; Caryophanales; Bacillaceae.
GACGAACGCUGGCGGCGUGCCUAAUACAUGCAAGUCGAGCGGACAGAAGGGAGCUUGCUCCCGGAUGUUAGCGGCGGACGGGUGAGUAACACGUGGGUAACCUGCCUGUAAGACUGGGAUAACUCCGGGAAACCGGAGCUAAUACCGGAUAGUUCCUUGAACCGCAUGGUUCAAGGAUGAAAGACGGUUUCGGCUGUCACUUACAGAUGGACCCGCGGCGCAUUAGCUAGUUGGUGGGGUAAUGGCUCACCAAGGCGACGAUGCGUAGCCGACCUGAGAGGGUGAUCGGCCACACUGGGACUGAGACACGGCCCAGACUCCUACGGGAGGCAGCAGUAGGGAAUCUUCCGCAAUGGACGAAAGUCUGACGGAGCAACGCCGCGUGAGUGAUGAAGGUUUUCGGAUCGUAAAGCUCUGUUGUUAGGGAAGAACAAGUGCGAGAGUAACUGCUCGCACCUUGACGGUACCUAACCAGAAAGCCACGGCUAACUACGUGCCAGCAGCCGCGGUAAUACGUAGGUGGCAAGCGUUGUCCGGAAUUAUUGGGCGUAAAGGGCUCGCAGGCGGUUUCUUAAGUCUGAUGUGAAAGCCCCCGGCUCAACCGGGGAGGGUCAUUGGAAACUGGGAAACUUGAGUGCAGAAGAGGAGAGUGGAAUUCCACGUGUAGCGGUGAAAUGCGUAGAGAUGUGGAGGAACACCAGUGGCGAAGGCGACUCUCUGGUCUGUAACUGACGCUGAGGAGCGAAAGCGUGGGGAGCGAACAGGAUUAGAUACCCUGGUAGUCCACGCCGUAAACGAUGAGUGCUAAGUGUUAGGGGGUUUCCGCCCCUUAGUGCUGCAGCUAACGCAUUAAGCACUCCGCCUGGGGAGUACGGUCGCAAGACUGAAACUCAAAGGAAUUGACGGGGGCCCGCACAAGCGGUGGAGCAUGUGGUUUAAUUCGAAGCAACGCGAAGAACCUUACCAGGUCUUGACAUCCUCUGACAACCCUAGAGAUAGGGCUUUCCCUUCGGGGACAGAGUGACAGGUGGUGCAUGGUUGUCGUCAGCUCGUGUCGUGAGAUGUUGGGUUAAGUCCCGCAACGAGCGCAACCCUUGAUCUUAGUUGCCAGCAUUCAGUUGGGCACUCUAAGGUGACUGCCGGUGACAAACCGGAGGAAGGUGGGGAUGACGUCAAAUCAUCAUGCCCCUUAUGACCUGGGCUACACACGUGCUACAAUGGACAGAACAAAAGGGCUGCAAGACCGCAAGGUUUAGCCAAUCCCAUAAAUCUGUUCUCAGUUCGGAUCGCAGUCUGCAACUCGACUGCGUGAAGCUGGAAUCGCUAGUAAUCGCGGAUCAGCAUGCCGCGGUGAAUACGUUCCCGGGCCUUGUACACACCGCCCGUCACACCACGAGAGUUUGCAACACCCGAAGUCGGUGAGGUAACCUUUAUGGAGCCAGCCGCCGAAGGUGGGGCAGAUGAUUGGGGUGAAGUCGUAACAAGGUAGCCGUAUCGGAAGGUGCGGCUGGAUCACCUCCUUUCUAAGGAUAUAUGGAGCAGCGUACGUUUUCGUCUUGUUUAGUUUUGAAGGAUCAUUCCUUCAAAACAUGUCUCUAGCGAGACAGGAUUGUUCUUUGAAAACUAGAUAACAAUAAGUAAUACAUUCACAUUGAAUGCAAUGCAAAGUUCAUCACACAUAGUGAUUCUUUCUAAAGUAAGAAAUGGUUAAGUUAGAAAGGGCGCACGGUGGAUGCCUUGGCACUAGGAGCCGAUGAAGGACGGGACGAACACCGAUAUGCUUCGGGGAGCUGUAAGCAAGCUUUGAUCCGGAGAUUUCCGAAUGGGGAAACCCACUGCUCGUAAUGGAGUAGUAUCCAUACUUGAAUACAUAGAGUAUGAGAAGGCAUACCCGGG